This is a long non-coding RNA of Anopheles arabiensis, 444 nucleotides long. RefSeq lists it as uncharacterized. The record is from RefSeq and is a predicted model, not a curated record. The transcript has 3 exons. NCBI's taxonomy places the organism in Eukaryota, Metazoa, Arthropoda, Insecta, Diptera, Culicidae.
UUUCGUUGUAUUGCCUCUAUUGUUUUGAGCAUCGUAGUGCAAUUCGGGAACCAAAGUACUGAGCAGUAUAUCACCCAGCAGCACACACAAGACAAAUCAUUUUUAGACAUCAAGUACCAAACACCAAGUAUGACUCUCUUCAUCCAUAAGGCCCCUAUUGGGCACAGAAGUUCUCGAUGUGACUGCUGUACACACUGUUGUAUGUGCUGGAAUUACCAUCCACGGGCUCCCUAAAUUGACGGGGCCCCCGCGGCCGCUCAGUCCGCGUACCGUUAAAUCCGCCACUGUUUGCGGCCAUCCCUAGAGAUAUGGUUGUCUGGGCUUGUGCGCGGUUCCGGAAGCGGGUGCAGGCGGCCAUCGACGCGGAGGGGGGUUACUUCGAACAAAAAAUGCGGCAAACAUGAAACUGUCAAAUUUAUCUCGAACAUCCUGCUUAUAUACUAU